ACGCACGGUACGUUUCGAUUCGAGAAACUUCUUCCAUCGAUACUGGAAAUAUACGGUUAGCGUUUACGAGGAUUCACGUCCUAUAGUUUUAAGAAUAGACGGACGAGCGUCGUUGCACGUUGCCAGCAGCGAAAACGCAACGUAGCCAGGUUAAAAGAGACGAAGGGAAAGGCAGGUCAAAGCAGCGACGCACUGGCCAGGUGCGCAGACAUUCCACUCGCUUUGCGGUACGCUCGCCCCGCUUCCCCCGACCACGAUUAUUUUCCACCUGGAGCGCCACGUUUUACUUCUUUAUGGCGGACCGAGCGAUAGGAACGCAUACGGAUGCCCGAUUGGAGGAGGUGCGACAAGGAGAAGGUGGAAGGUGGUGAUCGCGAGGAAACAAAAAUGGCGGCUAACCGAAGCGCGCUUCUUCCGAGUUAUAAAGAGGCUCUAUAACCGAUCACAGAGUUUACGUCGAAUCGACUUAGGAAGGAGAACGAAAGAGAGCGAAGGAAAGCUAACGAACAACAGGUUGGCACGUUGAACGUGUGGGGUGGGAAGACGGGAGAAUGAGAAGAGCUACGUAGAGACAGAGAAGCAGAAAACGGGAAAGCAAUCAUCGUUGGAUUUGGUAGGAAUAUCCGUAGAAGCGAAAUGCUUAGCGCUAUGUAAGAGCGACGACGUCGUGACAGGGAGACCGGAUUGGUCGGUCACCUGUUGCCUGCCUGCUGUGAUUGGUCGGGCUCGACAGCGCGUAACGACGGCCAGAGGAGGACAAGUGCACCGUCCGCUGGUCUAUGAUGGACCAACGUCGAAAAUGGGCAUACUCGUAUAUGUAUACGAUGUAAACUUUUGUCCUUGCUCGCGCGAACAAAUCAACUACGUUGUUAUUACGAUACCUUUUUGUUGUUCGCCAUUCACGUAAAUUCGUUCUUACGUUCGAUACGUACGUUCUACGUGCGCACAUAUCGGAGCGGACAUUAUUGCUUCGACGUUUAUUUACGCGCUUGGUCUUUAACUGCAUUCUACGAUAUAAAUAUUUAUCAGCGUUACCUUCGAAUUAUUUACGUUUCUUAAAUAAAGGUAAAGUUUAAAUACCUAUGCGGUACGAGAGAUAAAGAAAAGAUAUACGUACAUACGUAUACGUACAUAUGUCUAAUGCGACAGCGGGUCUAAUAUUUGCGAUAUGACUAUCGUGAAACGCGAAAUUAUAAAUGGACGUUGCGUGUACGACGGCAUGUAAGACGGAAUAACAGGGACGAAAUCCUUGUACGCGCGGCGGAACAGGUGUACAAAGUUCGCGCGAACGGACGAUGGGAAUCGCGCGAGACCAAAGUCUACGCUCGAGGAGCAAAGUCUGCGCGGACGAUGGAAGGAAAGCCGGUUCGCGAUAUCGGACUCUGAACUUUUCGCGUUACAUUCGUAUUACUUCUGUGUUGGCGAAUGUUACGCUGUUCGAGAAUAGACGCGAAUAUUAAACGUCCCGUGUAUAUUCCUAAUACGUAGAGUUCCGACGAUUCUGUUUUGCCCGAAAGAGGCGAGAAUCGAGCGAAUAAACGUUCGAACACGACCGUAAUGGUCUCUACGAAACUCGUUAUUCUCUUAGUCGAUAAAAUGGACGCGAUAAAGGCGGUUGAUUUAUUCGUCGAGCCUUCGAUGGUCGCUCGUAAACGAAGCAAAGGCGCGAGAGGACGAUACGAAAAAGAGAACUCGCUCGAAUUAGGGACACCUGCCAAACGACACCUGCUGCUUCCUAAAGCGCGUUUGAGUUUUCUCCGGACAAAACUACGAUAUUAUUUAAUCGGUGUAAUACAAACGAACGAUAACGUUGCGAUGGAAAGUUAGCUCGAAAGAGAAAACCUGUAUUAAAAGAACAAAUUCUGCUUACAUAUCGAUAUAAUUAUAAAUAUAUUACGACAGGGUCACCGUAUAGCUUAACCUAGUGACGUUCGCCAGCGUGAAAUUAAUCUACCGCUCCGAUGCAUAUCGUAUCUCGUUUCGGUAAUAACUUUGAUAUUUUGUUAUUUCGUCGAAUUAACAGGCCAAUAAGAGACCGAUAACGUAAAAUAAAAUCUGACACGCGAUUCGAAAACACUCGGAAAUUUCUUACUGGACCGAAACGACAUCGGUCGAUCUUUUUUCUUGAAUCGUCUCGAGAUAUUACGUCGCAACAGCUAGGCUGCCUAUACCUCGCAGGAUGAAACAAUUCGUUUUGGAUGCUCUUUCACGAGAGAGACGGAGAGAGGGAGAGAGAGGGAGAGAGAGAGAGAGAGAGAGAGAGAAAAGGAAGGGGAGCGGAUUCACCGUUGCACAGAACUUUCUCCCCGGCAAGGAUUAUAUUUGUGCCUUUCGUAGCCGUACGUAACUUUCAAACCAUCGCAAAUCACGAUGCUUCUUCCGCGAUGAAUCGCGUUCCUCGUAUUAUAUUUAAAUCGUUCAACGUCGUUCGAAUCCAACGAAGAAUAGACGUCGAAGAUGCGUUCCGAACGAUAAGUCGUUUAAGAUUCUUUCGACCGAUCGAACGAAGGAUAAAAUGAAAUUUCUAAUACGGAAAGACAGCCAUGAAAGAAGAGUAGUAUCGCGAUAGAGGAAAGGACGCGAGAGCAAGGUGAGAGAGAAGAAGACAGAACUGGUCGCUGACCCGCUCGGAACGUUGACUCCAUGUAGUCAGUCCCCUCUUUAUAUUUUCUUCCAUCCCACUUGCACCAUCUUACCGUACCUUCGAUUAUAGCCACAAGUUACCUUACUUUACUUUGCGUUACUUUACCAUGUCCGCCUUUCUUUAUUCGCGGUUACGAUCGCUAUAUUCUCGGACUUAGCGUCUUACCGAUAACUCUCUUGCCUACUUCUCCUCGUUUCUCUUCCCGUUUAGCCGAUUCUUUUCCAUUUGCCUUCGCUCCAUGUAUUCAUCUUCCGUUUUCUUUCUUUCGAAUAUAUUCCAUCCGAUGUAUAACGUAGAUCUGACAGAAUCAAUCUCAAGAAAAUUUCCAUUUAUUUUGCUCUAUUUAUUGAAAAUUAAUUGCCAGCUAAAGUAACUGUAAAACUUUAUUCAUUUAUUUAUCCUAUUUUAGUUGAUCUCUCAUUCGUAUAGACUGCAAGUUAUUACAUACGUAGAUACGCGAUAGUUAAGUAUUUAGAUAUCUAAUAUCGUAGAUUAGUAUUAUAUUACGAACGAUGCAUAUCAUCAGCAUCGAACAAGUGCCGUUAGGAUUAUCGUCCUUGCAUAAGCUUUCUAAAUAAGAUCCGAGCCUUUUAUGGUUACGGUAUAUGCUUAUCUUCCAUUUCUCGGCAAUUAGAAAAUAAGUCAAUUUCUAAAUCAUCGAAAGUCAAGUAUAACGGUCAUCUCAUCGUCGUUAUCCGAGUAUAGCUUUAGUAUCGUUAGCGAUUUCAUAAAAAUUUGUCCCAAGCUAAAUUUAUAUCGAUCCUUCGUCCUACGAAUUAUAAGACGAGACAUUACUGCGUAAGUAAUCUGUUAUAUUUGUAAGGGCAAGAUGUCUUGCGCGCGUAUUUAUUUUCACUUAUCAAUGAGUUAACGAGAUUCGUGAAAAUAUUUAUUUCGGGAAACAAAUAAAAAUAACCAAUUAAUAAAUAGCGUGACACAAGUUAAGUAGUAUAACCAUAAAUAACGGUAAUAAAGAAUAAUUUACUAGCGCAACAAGAUAAAUACAUAUUUUCGUUUACCGAGUUCUCAUUUACGCUUAUACACAUAAAUGUAUUUUCCAUAAUUUGAUUGUGGAAAAUGCGUAUAAAAAAUUUGCGACCACAACCGAUAAUGUUUCAAAAAUCGACGUAUUUUCGGUACAAUAUGAUCAAACGAUAUUACAUAAUUAGGAAUGGUAGUAUUUUUGUUACCGCUAUAAUUUUCAUCGAGCCACUGCAUU
Bombus terrestris (buff-tailed bumblebee) is the source of this 3863-nucleotide long non-coding RNA. RefSeq lists it as uncharacterized. The transcript has 3 exons. Lineage: Eukaryota; Metazoa; Arthropoda; Insecta; Hymenoptera; Apidae. The record is from RefSeq and is a predicted model, not a curated record.